GGAGCUGGCGACACGUUCUGCCCCUGGAGGCCGGGCUGCUCCUCGGCCCCGGCACAAGGGAAGCACUCAGCUGUGCUCCUGGCCGGCUCCUAUGGGCGAUUGCUGAAAAAUGCCCACAGCAUGGCUACCUGAAGAAUUCUGAACAGAGGAGGAGUGAAUCAGAGAUUCAAAGAAUAGUGGCUGCCCUGGAUGCCUGAACAGCCUUGGCCUUUCUAUUCCAUUGUUGCUUGAAACUGGACACACAAGCACUAUGAAAAAGGUCUUAUUUUCUCCAUCUGGAAGCUGAAGAUAAUACUACCUAAACUACAGGGAUAUUGUGAGCAUUCCUUGUUAUAGUAGUUCAUUUCUAAAUCAUCUCAUUGUAAUAAAAUUGUUAAAACCGUUUAAAAA
This is a long non-coding RNA of Zonotrichia albicollis (white-throated sparrow), 390 nucleotides long. RefSeq lists it as uncharacterized. Lineage: Eukaryota; Metazoa; Chordata; Aves; Passeriformes; Passerellidae. The record is from RefSeq and is a predicted model, not a curated record.